This 412-nucleotide ribosomal RNA is filed under the name uncultured microorganism. Its description in RNAcentral is "bacterial SSU rRNA". It matches the Rfam family "Bacterial small subunit ribosomal RNA", at positions 9 to 417 of the family's 1533-position model. The record is from RNAcentral.
GAGUUUGAUCCUGGCUCAGAUUGAACGCUGGCGGCAUGCCUUACACAUGCAAGUCGAACGGCAGCAUGAUCUAGCUUGCUAGAUUGAUGGCGAGUGGCGAACGGGUGAGUAAUACAUCGGAACGUGCCCUGUAGUGGGGGAUAACUAGUCGAAAGAUUAGCUAAUACCGCAUACGACCUGAGGGUGAAAGUGGGGGACCGCAAGGCCUCAUGCUAUAGGAGCGGCCGAUGUCUGAUUAGCUAGUUGGUGGGGUAAAGGCCCACCAAGGCGACGAUCAGUAGCUGGUCUGAGAGGACGAUCAGCCACACUGGGACUGAGACACGGCCCAGACUCCUACGGGAGGCAGCAGUGGGGAAUUUUGGACAAUGGGCGAAAGCCUGAUCCAGCAAUGCCGCGUGUGUGAAGAAGGCCU